This 496-nucleotide ribosomal RNA is filed under the name uncultured bacterium. Its description in RNAcentral is "partial 16S ribosomal RNA". It matches the Rfam family "Bacterial small subunit ribosomal RNA", at positions 29 to 507 of the family's 1533-position model. The record is from RNAcentral.
AUGAACGCUGGCGGCGUGCCUAAUACAUGCCAGUCGAGCGAACGGACGAGAAGCUUGCUUCUCUGAUGUUAGCGGCGGACGGGUGAGUAACACGUGGAUAACCUACCUAUAAGACUGGGAUAACUUCGGGAAACCGGAGCUAAUACCGGAUAAUAUUUUGAACCGCAUGGUUCAAAAGUGAAAGACGGUCUUGCUGUCACUUAUAGAUGGAUCCGCGCUGCAUUAGCUAGUUGGUAAGGUAACGGCUUACCAAGGCAACGAUGCAUAGCCGACCUGAGAGGGUGAUCGGCCACACUGGAACUGAGACACGGUCCAGACUCCUACGGGAGGCAGCAGUAGGGAAUCUUCCGCAAUGGGCGAAAGCCUGACGGAGCAACGCCGCGUGAGUGAUGAAGGUCUUCGGAUCGUAAAACUCUGUUAUUAGGGAAGAACAUAUGUGUAAGUAACUGUGCACAUCUUGACGGUACCUAAUCAGAAGGCCACGGCUAACUACGUG